CAGAAGUGCGAAUGCUGACAUAAGUAACGAUAAAGCGGGUGAAAAGCCCGCUCGCCGGAAGACCAAGGGUUCCUGUCCAACGUUAAUCGGGGCAGGGUGAGUCGACCCCUAAGGCGAGGCCGAAAGGCGUAGUCGAUGGGAAACAGGUUAAUAUUCCUGUACUUGGUGUUACUGCGAAGGGGGGACGGAGAAGGCUAUGUUGGCCGGGCGACGGUUGUCCCGGUUUAAGCGUGUAGGCUGGUUUUCCAGGCAAAUCCGGAAAAUCAAGGCUGAGGCGUGAUGACGAGGCACUACGGUGCUGAAGCAACAAAUGCCCUGCUUCCAGGAAAAGCCUCUAAGCAUCAGGUAACAUCAAAUCGUACCCCAAACCGACACAGGUGGUCAGGUAGAGAAUACCAAGGCGCUUGAGAGAACUCGGGUGAAGGAACUAGGCAAAAUGGUGCCGUAACUUCGGGAGAAGG
This 461-nucleotide ribosomal RNA is filed under the name Escherichia coli. RNAcentral describes it as "bacterial LSU rRNA". It matches the Rfam family "Bacterial large subunit ribosomal RNA", at positions 1283 to 1746 of the family's 2925-position model. Lineage: Bacteria; Pseudomonadati; Pseudomonadota; Gammaproteobacteria; Enterobacterales; Enterobacteriaceae. The record is from RNAcentral.